UCGAGCGGUAGAGAGAAGCUUGCUUCUCUUGAGAGCGGCGGACGGGUGAGUAAUGCCUAGGAAUCUGCCUGGUAGUGGGGGAUAACGUCCGGAAACGGACGCUAAUACCGCAUACGUCCUACGGGAGAAAGCAGGGGACCUUCGGGCCUUGCGCUAUCAGAUGAGCCUAGGUCGGAUUAGCUAGUUGGUGGGGUAAUGGCUCACCAAGGCGACGAUCCGUAACUGGUCUGAGAGGAUGAUCAGUCACACUGGAACUGAGACACGGUCCAGACUCCUACGGGAGGCAGCAGUGGGGAAUAUUGGACAAUGGGCGAAAGCCUGAUCCAGCCAUGCCGCGUGUGUGAAGAAGGUCUUCGGAUUGUAAAGCACUUUAAGUUGGGAGGAAGGGCAGUAAAUUAAUACUUUGCUGUUUUGACGUUACCGACAGAAUAAGCACCGGCUAACUCUGUGCCAGCAGCCGCGGUAAUACAGAGGGUGCAAGCGUUAAUCGGAAUUACUGGGCGUAAAGCGCGCGUAGGUGGUUCGUUAAGUUGGAUGUGAAAUCCCCGGGCUCAACCUGGGAACUGCAUUCAAAACUGACGAGCUAGAGUAUGGUAGAGGGUGGUGGAAUUUCCUGUGUAGCGGUGAAAUGCGUAUAUAUAGGAAGGAACACCAGUGGCGAAAGCGACCACCUGGACUGAUACUGACACUGAGUGCGAAAGCGUGGGGGGCAAACAGAUUAGAUACCCUGG
Molecule: ribosomal RNA, 731 nt
Filed under: uncultured bacterium
Lineage: Bacteria
Description: bacterial SSU rRNA
Rfam family: Bacterial small subunit ribosomal RNA
Source: RNAcentral